UACGAAGGGAGCUAGCGUUGUUCGGAAUUACUGGGCGUAAAGGGUGCGUAGGCUGCUAGUUAAGUUAGAUGUGAAAGCCCUGGUUUCAAGCUAGGAAUAGCAUUUAAUACUGACUGGCUAGAGGGUAAGAGAGGAUAGUGGAAUUCUGAGUGUAGAGGUAAAAUUCGUAGAUAUUCAGAGGAACACCGGAGGCGAAAGCGUCUAUCUGGAUUACCCCUGACGCUGAGGCACGAAAGUAUGGGGAGCAAACAGG
This 253-nucleotide ribosomal RNA is filed under the name uncultured bacterium. Its description in RNAcentral is "partial 16S ribosomal RNA". It matches the Rfam family "Bacterial small subunit ribosomal RNA", at positions 524 to 776 of the family's 1533-position model. The record is from RNAcentral.